Molecule: long non-coding RNA, 536 nt
Filed under: Bos taurus (domestic cattle)
Lineage: Eukaryota; Metazoa; Chordata; Mammalia; Artiodactyla; Bovidae
Description: long non-coding RNA NONBTAT014300
Source: RNAcentral
GUAACAACUGAAAUGACAUCAAUGAUCCAUCACCUGUGCUUCUUCCACUGCUGAGGGGGAAAAAAACCCAAAUCCUCCUAUGUAGUUGAGUCCCGAAGGAAAAUCAAGACAUUAUUACCAGACAUCCAUUAGCCAGAAGAAUGCUCUAAAAAUGCUCUUUUGGUCCAGUGGUAUAGACACUGACAUGUUCAAUGUACCAGUGCAAUUAAAAUAUAUACAUUUACAAUUAUCCUGCCAAAAAAAGCACUUAAAAUAACUAUGUAUUAAACCAAUUAUUCACUCAUCCAUUCACUCUUUUUGCAUCACUACAGUCACAAGGACAAAUGAAUAAAAGAACUUCUAGAGUAUCUGAGGGGUGUGGGUGGGGGGAGAGGUGGGAGAGGAUUAAAAAAAAAAAAAAAAACUUCUAGUAACAAAGAAAAAAAUCCAAACCUCACCCCAACUUUAUGGGUUAUUAUGUGCUAAAAUGACAAUAAAAGGGUCAUGAGCUGUCUGAAAUGCAAUGACAAAAUGACAACUGAAGCAUUCAAAAAAAA